This 292-nucleotide ribosomal RNA is filed under the name uncultured eukaryote. RNAcentral describes it as "partial 18S ribosomal RNA". It matches the Rfam family "Eukaryotic small subunit ribosomal RNA", at positions 6 to 310 of the family's 1831-position model. The record is from RNAcentral.
GGUUGAUCCUGCCAGUAGUCAUACGCUCGUCUCAAAGAUUAAGCCAUGCAUGUGUAAGUAUAAAUAAUUCUACUUUGAAACUGCGAAUGGCUCAUUAUAUCAGUUAUAGUUUAUUAGAAAAAAUGUACUACUUGGAUAACCGUAGUAAUUCUAGGGCUAAUACAUGAAUGAAUCCUCGACUUUGAAGAGGUGUGUUUAUUAGUAUGAAAACCAUAUGCUUCGGCAUGAUAGUGAGUAAUAAUAACCUUUCGUAUCGUAUGUUGAAAUAACGAUAGUUCUUUCAAGUUUCUGC